RNAcentral lists this ribosomal RNA (253 nucleotides) under uncultured bacterium. RNAcentral describes it as "partial 16S ribosomal RNA". It matches the Rfam family "Bacterial small subunit ribosomal RNA", at positions 524 to 776 of the family's 1533-position model. The record is from RNAcentral.
GACGUAGGGCGCGAGCGUUGUCCGGAUUUAUUGGGCGUAAAGAGCUCGUAGGCGGCUUGUCGCGUCGACUGUGAAAACCCGCGGCUUAACUGCGGGACUGCAGUCGAUACGGGCAGGCUAGAGUUCGGUAGGGGAGACUGGAAUUCCUUGUGUAGCGGUGAAAUGCGCAGAUAUCAGGAGGAACACCGGUGGCGAAGGCGGGUCUCUGGGCCGACACUGACGCUGAGGAGCGAAAGCGUGGGGAGCGAACAGG